GAUGAACGCUGGCGGCGUGCCUAAUACAUGCAAGUCGAGCGAACAGAUGAGGAGCUUGCUCCUCUGACGUUAGCGGCGGACGGGUGAGUAACACGUGGAUAACCUACCUAUAAGACUGGGAUAACUUCGGGAAACCGGAGCUAAUACCGGAUAAUAUAUUGAACCGCAUGGUUCAAUAGUGAAAGACGGUUUUGCUGCCACUUAUAGAUGGAUCCGCGCCGCAUUAGCUAGUUGGUAAGGUAACGGCUUACCAAGGCAACGAUGCGUAGCCGACCUGAGAGGGUGAUCGGCCACACUGGAACUGAGACACGGUCCAGACUCCUACGGGAGGCGGCAGUAGGGAAUCUUCUGCAAUGGGCGAAAGCCUGACGGAGCAACGCCGCGUGAGUGAUGAAGGUCUUCGGAUCGUAAAACUCUGUUAUUAGGGAAGAACAAAUGUGUAAGUAACUAUGCACGUCUUGACGGUACCUAAUCAGAAAGCCACGGCUAACUACGUG
This 497-nucleotide ribosomal RNA is filed under the name uncultured bacterium. RNAcentral describes it as "partial 16S ribosomal RNA". It matches the Rfam family "Bacterial small subunit ribosomal RNA", at positions 28 to 507 of the family's 1533-position model. The record is from RNAcentral.